CAGCUGCACGCCCCGUGGCUCCAGAUCUCUUCGUCUUUGCAGCAUAUCCCGAGUCGCUCAGCGCCGAAGGACCUCAGCAGCCAUGUCGAAGCCCGAUAGUGAAGCCGGGACUGCCUUCAUUCAGACCCAGCAGCUGCACGCAGCCAUGGCUGACGCAUUCCUGGAGCACCUGUACCGCCUGGACGUUGAUUCACCGCCCAUCACAGCCCGGAACACUGGCAUCCUCUGUACCAUUGGCCCAGCUUCCCGAUCAGUGGAGACGUUGAAGGAGAUGAUUAAGUCUGGAAUGAAUGUGGCUCGUCUGAACUUCUCUCAUGGAACUCACGAGUACCACGCGGAGACCAUCAGGAAUGUGCGCACAGCCACGGAAAGCUUUGCUUCUGACCAGCCCGUUGCUGUGGCUGUAGACACUAAAGGACCUGAGAUCCGAACUGGGCUCAUCAAGGGUGGCGGCACUGCAGAGGUGGAGCCGAAGAAGGGAGCCACUCUCAAAAUCACGCUGAUAACGCCUACGUGGAAACGUGUGACGAGAACACCCUGUGGCUGGACUACAAGAACAUCUGCAAGGUGGCGGAAGUGGGCAGCAAGAUCUACGUGGGUGACGGGCUUAUUUCUCUCCAGGUGAAGCAGAAAGGUGCCGACUUCCUGGUGACGGAGGUGGAAAAUGGUGGCUCCUUGGGCAGCAAGAAGGGCGUGAACCUUCCUGGGGCUGCUGCGGACUUGCCUGCUGUGUCGGAGAAGGACAUCCAGGAUCUGUAAGUUUGGGGUCGAGCAGGAUGUUGACACGGUGUUUGCGUCGUUCAUCCGCAAGGCAUCUGAUGUCCGUGAAGUGAGGAAGGUCCUGGGAGAGAAGGGAAAGAACAUCAAGAUAAUCGGCAAAAUCGAGAAUCGUGAGCGGGUUCGGAGGUUUCGUGAAAUCCUGGAGGCCAGUGAUGGGAUCACGGUGGCUCGUGGUGAUCUAGGCAUUGAGACUCCUGCAGAGAAGGUCUUCCUUGCUCAGAAGAUGGUGAUUGGACGGCGCAACCGAGCUGGGAAGCCUGUCAUCUGUGCUCCUCAGAUGCUGGAGAGCGUGAUCAAGAAGGCCCGCCCCACUCGGGCUGAAGGCAGUGAUGUGGCCAGUGCAGUCCUGGAUGGAGCCGACUGCAUCAUGCUGUCUGGAGAAACAGCCAAAGGGGAAGGUCCUCUGGAGGCUGUCCGCAUGCAGCACGUGACUGCCCGGGAGGCAGAGGCCGCCAUCUACCGCUUGCAUCAUCUGAGGAACUCCGCCGCCUGGCGCCCAUUACCAGCGACCCCACAGAAGCCACCGCCGUGGAUGCCUCCUUCGAGUGCUGCAGUGGGGCCAUAAUCGUCCUCACCAAGUCUGGCAGGUCUGCUCACCAGGUGGCCAGAUACCGCCCACGUGCCCCCGUCAUGGCCGUGACCCGGAAUCCCCAGACAGCUCGUCAGGCCCACCUGUACCGUGUCAUCUUCCCUGUGCUGUGCAAGGACCCAGUCUAGGAGGCCUGAGGCUGUGGACCUCGGGGUGAACUUUGCCAUGAAUGUUGGCAACGCCGGAGGCUUCUGCAAGAAGGGAGACGUGGUCAUUGUGCUGACCGGAUGGCGCCCUGGCUCCGGCUUCGCCAACACCACGCGUGUCAUUCCUCACCUCCAGGCCUGUUGCUAA
RNA transcript from Nomascus leucogenys (northern white-cheeked gibbon), 1663 nucleotides. It is a transcript of the gene named pyruvate kinase PKM pseudogene, with no coding region annotated. The record is from RefSeq and is a predicted model, not a curated record. The transcript has 2 exons. Lineage: Eukaryota; Metazoa; Chordata; Mammalia; Primates; Hylobatidae.